UACGAAGGGAGCUAGCGUUGUUCGGAAUCACUGGGCGUAAAGCGCACGUAGGCGGAUGUGUCAGUCAGGGGUGAAAUCCCGGAGCUCAACUUCGGAACUGCCUUUGAUACAGCACGUCUUGAGUCCGGAAGAGGUGGGUGGAAUUCCUAGUGUAGCGGUGAAAUGCGCAGAUAUCAGGAGGAACACCGGUGGCGAAGGCGGCUCACUGGCCCGAUACUGACGCUGAGGCACGAAAGCGUGGGGAGCAAACAGG
Molecule: ribosomal RNA, 253 nt
Filed under: uncultured bacterium
Lineage: Bacteria
Description: partial 16S ribosomal RNA
Rfam family: Bacterial small subunit ribosomal RNA
Source: RNAcentral